AGAGUUUGAUCCUGGCUCAGAUUGAACGCUAGCGGGAUGCCUUACACAUGCAAGUCGAACGGCAGCACGGACUUCGGUCUGGUGGCGAGUGGCGAACGGGUGAGUAAUGUAUCGGAACGUGCCUAGUAGCGGGGGAUAACUACGCGAAAGCGUAGCUAAUACCGCAUACGCCCUACGGGGGAAAGCAGGGGAUCGCAAGACCUUGCACUAUUAGAGCGGCCGAUAUCGGAUUAGCUAGUUGGUGGGGUAACGGCUCACCAAGGCGACGAUCCGUAGCUGGUUUGAGAGGACGACCAGCCACACUGGGACUGAGACACGGCCCAGACUCCUACGGGAGGCAGCAGUGGGGAAUUUUGGACAAUGGGGGAAACCCUGAUCCAGCCAUCCCGCGUGUGCGAUGAAGGCCUUCGGGUUGUAAAGCACUUUUGGCAGGAAAGAAACGUCAUGGGCUAAUAC
Molecule: ribosomal RNA, 456 nt
Filed under: uncultured bacterium
Lineage: Bacteria
Description: bacterial SSU rRNA
Rfam family: Bacterial small subunit ribosomal RNA
Source: RNAcentral